GUUGGUGAACCAGCGGAGGGAUCAUUACCGAGUUUACAACUCCCAAACCCCUGUGAACUUAUACCUUUACUGUUGCUUCGGCGGGUCAUUGCCCCGGGGAAACGACAGGUGUGGCCGUCAGGUCCCCCUGCCCGACCCCCCGGAAACAGGCGCCCGCCGGGGGACUCAAACUCUUAUGUAUUUUUGUUUACUGUAUACUGUCUGAGUAAAAAUUACAAAUGAAUCAAAACUUUCAACAACGGAUCUCUUGGUUCUG
Molecule: unclassified non-coding RNA, 256 nt
Filed under: rhizosphere metagenome
Description: partial ribosomal RNA internal transcribed spacer region
Source: RNAcentral